AAUAGAUACCCUGGUAGUCCACGCCGUAAACGAUGAGUGCUAAGUGUUAGAGGGUUUCCGCCCUUUAGUGCUGCAGCUAACGCAUUAAGCACUCCGCCUGGGGAGUACGGUCGCAAGACUGAAACUCAAAGGAAUUGACGGGGGCCCGCACAAGCGGUGGAGCAUGUGGUUUAAUUCGAAGCAACGCGAAGAACCUUACCAGGUCUUGACAUCCUCUGACAACUCUAGAGAUAGAGCGUUCCCCUUCGGGGGACAGAGUGACAGGUGGUGCAUGGUUGUCGUCAGCUCGUGUCGUGAGAUGUUGGGUUAAGUCCCGCAACGAGCGCAACCCUUGAUCUUAGUUGCCAGCAUUUAGUUAGGCACUCUAAGGUGACUGCCGGUGACAAACCGGAGGAAGGUGGGGAUGACGUCAAAUCAUCAUGCCCCUUAUGACCUGGGCUACACACGUGCUACAAUGGAUGGUACAAAGGGCUGCAAGACCGCGAGGUCAAGCCAAUCCCAUAAAACCAUUCUCAGUUCGGAUUGU
This 526-nucleotide ribosomal RNA is filed under the name uncultured bacterium. Its description in RNAcentral is "bacterial SSU rRNA". It matches the Rfam family "Bacterial small subunit ribosomal RNA", at positions 777 to 1301 of the family's 1533-position model. The record is from RNAcentral.